RNAcentral lists this ribosomal RNA (253 nucleotides) under uncultured bacterium. Its description in RNAcentral is "partial 16S ribosomal RNA". It matches the Rfam family "Bacterial small subunit ribosomal RNA", at positions 524 to 776 of the family's 1533-position model. The record is from RNAcentral.
UACGUAGGGUGCGAGCGUUAAUCGGAAUUACUGAGCGUAAAGCGUGCGCAGGCGGUUGUGCAAGACCGAUGUGAAAUCCCCGGGCUUAACCUGGGAACUGCAUUGGUGACUGCACGGCUAGAGUGUGUCAGAGGGGGGUAGAAUUCCACGUGUAGCAGUGAAAUGCGUAGAUAUGUGGAGGAAUACCGAUGGCGAAGGCAGCCCCCUGGGAUAACACUGACGCUCAUGCACGAAAGCGUGGGGAGCAAACAGG